Molecule: ribosomal RNA, 512 nt
Filed under: uncultured bacterium
Lineage: Bacteria
Description: bacterial SSU rRNA
Rfam family: Bacterial small subunit ribosomal RNA
Source: RNAcentral
GAUCAUGGCUCAGGAUGAACGCUAGCUACAGGCUUAACACAUGCAAGUCGAGGGGCAGCAUGACGAUAGCUUGCUAUGUGAUGGCGACCGGCGCACGGGUGAGUAACGCGUAUCCAACCUUCCCUAUAGUAGAGGAUAGCCCGGCGAAAGUCGGAUUAAUACUCUAUGUUUUCCAAUGCAGACAUCUAAAAUGGAACAAAGGUUUACCGCUAUAGGAUGGGGAUGCGUCUGAUUAGGUUGUUGGCGGGGUAACGGCCCACCGAGCCUACGAUCAGUAGGGGUUCUGAGAGGAAGGUCCCCCACAUUGGAACUGAGACACGGUCCAAACUCCUACGGGAGGCAGCAGUGAGGAAUAUUGGUCAAUGGGCGAGAGCCUGAACCAGCCAAGUAGCGUGCAGGAUGACGGCCCUAUGGGUUGUAAACUGCUUUUAUAUAGGGAUAAAGUGACCCACGUGUGGGUUUUUGUAGGUACUAUAUGAAUAAGGACCGGCUAAUUCCGUGCCAGCCGCAGC